CGGCAGGCUUAAUACAUGCAAGUCGAGGGGUAGCAUGAUUGUAGCAAUACAAUUGAUGACGACCGGCAAACGGGUGCGGAACACGUACACAACCUUUCUACAAGUGGGGAAUAGCCCAGAGAAAUUUGGAUUAAUACCCCGUAACAUAGCGAUGUGGCAUCACAUUGCUAUUAUAGCUUCGGCGCUGUAAGAUGGGCGUGCGUGCUAUUAGCUAGUUGGUGAGGUAACGGCUCACCAAGGCUACGAUAGCUAGGGGGCGUGAGAGCGUGGCCCCCCACACGGGUACUGAGACACGGACCCGACUCCUACGGGAGGCAGCAGUAAGGAACUAUUGGACAAUGGUCGGAAGACUGAUCCAGCCAUCCCGCGUGCAGGAUGACUGCCCUAUGGGUUGUAAACUGCUUUUAUAUGGGAAGAAUAGCAUAGAUUCAUCUGUGUAUGACGGUACCAUAUGAAUAAGCACCGGCUAACUCCGUG
RNAcentral lists this ribosomal RNA (477 nucleotides) under uncultured bacterium. RNAcentral describes it as "bacterial SSU rRNA". It matches the Rfam family "Bacterial small subunit ribosomal RNA", at positions 40 to 507 of the family's 1533-position model. The record is from RNAcentral.